AUUUUAUGGUAUGGAAUAUCCCUUUGGCCAGCUCAGGACAGCUGUCCUGGCCACGCUCCCUCAUGGCUUUUUGUGUGUCUCCUUGUUGGCAGAGUAUAAGAAAAAGAAAAAUCCUUGACUUAGGGCGAGGACUGCAGAGCAACAACUGAAACAUCAGCGUGUUAUCAGCAUGAUUCUCCUGCUAAAUCCACAAUGCAGCAUUGUACCAGCUACUAGGAAGAAAAUUAACUCCAUCUCAGCCAAAACUAGGACAACUGGUCAUCAAGUGUACCUUUGUAUCUCAAGCUAGUGUUAAAAAGCUUCAAUAAAUGAGACUUGACAACCUGCUUUGGCGAUCCAAUAGUAGGGAGAGGUGCUGGAGAAGUGAUACCCCUGCAGCCCAUUGUGAAGAUCAUGGUGAGGCUGUCCCCCUGCAGCCCACAGAGGUCCACAGUGGAGCAAAUAUCCACCAUGAAGCAGAUAUCCCAUAGAGGAACUCAUGACAGAGCAGGGGAAUGCCUAAAGGAGGCUGUGACCCCUUGGGAAGCCCAUGCUGGAACAUGCUCCUAGCAGGACCUGUGGCCUCAUGGAGAGAGGAACCCCUGUUGGAGCAGGUGAGGAGGGGAGUGAUAAAAAAGACUUCUGUGAGCACCUGGUGUCCAGCCAGGUUCAACUCACCUCGGUCAGUAAGAAGAUAUUUGGUAAGCGCAGUCUUUGGGCAUGUGACAAGAUAGCAUUUGUAAUGUUAUCAGAAUAAUCUGUAGUGAUUUAAAAUCCUAUUGUAGUUUCUGUAUCACUAGUUUCAUUAUUUGAUUAAAGUCCAGCAGAGCAUUAAGGAUUACAUUUUACUGAGCAUGAAUGAUUUACAAUUAGUUAGAAAAAAUAAAGGUAUUAAGGAAUGUGCCAGGUUAAUUUAUUUGACAAAUGAGUGUAAAGCUACUUACACAAACAUUUCAAAAGAGAGAAGCACCUGGUUCAUAAUGUAUUUUGUAGAAGUAAUGAAAAAAGUAAUUAUUGAGAACUGUAAAAACACUGCCAGGAGGUAUAGCUAAGAUCUAGCUCACUAGGAAUGCAGGGGCUGACUUCCACUGCACCUCAUAGUUGUACUGGGUCCCUCCCCCGACUAACCCACUGGGUGACAGUCAGUAAGCUGAGGAAUCCUCAGGUAGGGAAGACAUAAGCAAUACUUGGCAGUUAGGGCAUGGUUUGGUAUCCAGUCUGGGGUUUGUAUAAGGGGAUAAUUGUAAUUCUUUUGUAUUACAGUAUCUGAUAAGGCCAAGCUUUUAGUAUUUUCCAGUUUAAUGUCAAUAAUACUACAGUAAUGUUGAUAUCUAGCUUUUUAAAACACUAGCCAUUUUUAAUUUGUUUAUGUCGGUGACGCUUGUUAUUUUACAGCAGUAUAGGAAACACCUCGUGGUGAGAAACACCUAGUGGUGACUGAUUUAAGCCACUUGCUGUCUGUUUUUACUUGAUCGUGAUGUUGCUUUGUCAACAGGAUCAGCAGCAUAACGUGCAGCGUUACAAACGUAAAGAAAUAAACUUUUCUAAAAAGUCCAACUGUGCAGAUUCAUCUCUGUGGGCAUUGUUGGGUUAGGUUGUCACAUUGGAGUAUUAUA
Molecule: long non-coding RNA, 1595 nt
Organism: Empidonax traillii (willow flycatcher)
Lineage: Eukaryota; Metazoa; Chordata; Aves; Passeriformes; Tyrannidae
Exons: 3
Source: RefSeq, a predicted model, not a curated record